Oncorhynchus tshawytscha (Chinook salmon) is the source of this 271-nucleotide long non-coding RNA. RefSeq lists it as uncharacterized. The transcript has 3 exons. The record is from RefSeq and is a predicted model, not a curated record. NCBI's taxonomy places the organism in Eukaryota, Metazoa, Chordata, Actinopteri, Salmoniformes, Salmonidae.
GAGAGAGAGAGAUACCCAGUGAAGACCGCUGAAGAUCUCCGAAGAAGUGAAGCUACAACGGAACAUUUUAGAAGGAGACAUCACCAUGGCGAUGUUGACCAUUCUUCUGCUUCUCAGCGCUGCCGUUGCACUGGGCGAAGCCGUAACUCUGGAUGAAGCAAAUGCUAUGGUGGCAUCUGCAGCAGAUAAAAAAAGCCCAUGCCCCAAAGACUGGUUCCAGUUUAAUUCACGCUGCUUCAUGUUUGUCCAGACUGCAAGGACAUGGCCUGAA